This 421-nucleotide ribosomal RNA is filed under the name Acanthamoeba lenticulata. RNAcentral's name for it is "SSU rRNA". It matches the Rfam family "Eukaryotic small subunit ribosomal RNA", at positions 740 to 1093 of the family's 1831-position model. Lineage: Eukaryota; Discosea; Longamoebia; Acanthamoebidae. The record is from RNAcentral.
GGCCCAGAUCGUUUACCGUGAAAAAAUUAGAGUGUUCAAAGCGGGCAGAUAUUUUUCCUGCCACCGAAUACAUUAGCAUGGGAUAAUGGAAUAGGACCCUGACCUCCUAUUUUCAGUUGGUUUUGUUUACAGCGAGGUUAUAUCAGGGUAAUGAUUAAUAGGGAUAGUUGGGGGCAUUAAUAUUUAAUUGUCAGAGGUGAAAUUCUUGGAUUUAUGAAAGAUUAACUUCUGCGAAAGCGUUUGCCAAGGAUGUUUUCAUUAAUCAAGAACGAAAGUUAGGGGAUCGAAGACGAUCAGAUACCGUCGUAGUCUUAACCAUAAACGAUGCCGACCAGCGAUUAGGAGACGUUGAAUACAAAACACCGCCGUUAAUCCUUUCGGGGGUUAAUGGUUGGUGAAUGACUCCCCUAGCAGCUUGUGA